GGAGGACAAAGGACAACUUUGUGGACUCAGUCCUCUCCUUCUGUCUCUGUGGGGUUACAAGACUGAACUCAGAGCCCAGGCCUGAGCACCAUGUCUUCACCAUCUAUUCCACUCCUAAAGAAACACUCAAGAGAAGAGAAAAGUUUGUCUGCAAAACAACACACAAGUACUCGAAACACGGCUGUUCACAGCAGUCAGCAGUCAGCCCACGAGUACAGUGAGUAACAAAACACGGCACGUCUCCACGUGAGGCAGUUAGAAUCAUCAUCAUCAUCAUCACCACUAAUAAUUUACUGACCUGCUGUUCCUGAGUGGAUUCAAGAGAAGACAGUUAUCAACAAAACACAGAAGCAGCGCAAUAAAACCAGCAGACA
This is a long non-coding RNA of Alexandromys fortis (reed vole), 374 nucleotides long. RefSeq lists it as uncharacterized. The transcript is spliced from 3 exons. The record is from RefSeq and is a predicted model, not a curated record. Lineage: Eukaryota; Metazoa; Chordata; Mammalia; Rodentia; Cricetidae.